Anastrepha ludens (Mexican fruit fly) is the source of this 1039-nucleotide long non-coding RNA. RefSeq lists it as uncharacterized. The record is from RefSeq and is a predicted model, not a curated record. The transcript has 3 exons. NCBI's taxonomy places the organism in Eukaryota, Metazoa, Arthropoda, Insecta, Diptera, Tephritidae.
UACAGAGUUGCGAUUUGCAAAGCGGUGAGUCAGUCAACCAGUCACUUACAAAACAACGUUUCAAUUUGGUGUAUUUCAAAACGCACAAAACUCCAACGACAAUAGCAUCAACACGAAAAAAAUACUUUUAUUAAAAUAACAAUGUAUGGAUAUGGAAAAAGUGAGUAAACCAAAUUAGAUAAUACGCGAAUUUGAACGUAAAUGUGUGUGCGUAUGCGUAUGCGAAUGUGCUGCCUGGAGCGAGCGUCAAGCUCGGCGUGAACACAAUCUGAAUGACAAUUAACAUUUUUAGCAAAAAGCAAUGCAACCAGUCAGCGCACAGCCGCCACAAAGGCAUAAGCCACAACAAGCGCAACAACAAUGCAGUUAACAAUGAUCGCAAGCUUUAAAUGUUGAAAAUGCAUGGAAAUUAAAGCAAAUAAAAGCAAAUAUGUACAUACGAGUACGAGUAAGACGCUAAUAAAAAAACAAAAUUACGACUAAUAAAAAAGCAUUUUAACAAAAUAAAUUUGUUCGAGUGAAUGAUGUGAGACUGCCGCGCUGGUCGUAUGUUUCAAGACGAAAAAAUAGAGAAAUUUAUACUCGAAGAAAAAAGGGAUAGAAACACGCUGCCAGCCAAAUCAAGUAUUUCAUCAAUAAAUCUGCCUUUCAAUAAAGCGAUCGUUACUUUUAACCAGGACCAACGAAAUGGAACGUAGCAUUUUCAACGCAGAGUUAUUGCUACUUCUAAAACCUGCUUUAUUUUUGUUUCAGCAUUGCCGAACUUUGGUAGACUUUGAAAACCCACAAAUGAAUUGGGAUCGAUCAGUAGCUGAAACACCUGCAUAGAUUUUCGCCAUAUUUCAGGUUUACGCAAUGUCAGGUGUAAGACCAUGAAUCAAUAAUGUAAAGUUCGCUCAGUAAGCAGCAUUCUCAUGCCCUCCCUUAGCAAGACACUGGGUUUCUAAAUCUAGAUAUUUUGAGUAAAAGUGUAGAAAAAGUAAAAUUUAUAUGUAAAACAUUUCUUUUUCUAAAUUGGGUGCCUAUGAGCAGCAAUGCG